GAGACACCCCCAUGGAGCAGAACUUGCUUCAGAGGGGCUUUGGUGCUCUCAGAGUUUUCCCCUUGAAUGUGUCACU
Molecule: microRNA precursor, 76 nt
Filed under: Myotis davidii
Lineage: Eukaryota; Metazoa; Chordata; Mammalia; Chiroptera; Vespertilionidae
Description: mir-9229 microRNA precursor family
Rfam family: mir-9229 microRNA precursor family
Source: Rfam by way of RNAcentral